Molecule: ribosomal RNA, 305 nt
Filed under: uncultured bacterium
Lineage: Bacteria
Description: bacterial SSU rRNA
Rfam family: Bacterial small subunit ribosomal RNA
Source: RNAcentral
ACCUACGGGGGGCAGCAGUGGGGGAUAUUGCACAAUGGGGGCAACCCUGAUGCAGCGACGCCGCGUGAGCGAUGGAGUACUUCGGUAUGUAAAGCUCUGUCAGCAGGGAAGAGAAUGACGGUACCUGACCAAGAAGCCCCGGCUAAAUACGUGCCAGCAGCCGCGGUAAUACGUAGGGGGCGAGCGUUAUCCGGAUUUACUGGGUGUAAAGGGAGCGUAGACGGCUGGUCAAGUCUGAAGUGAAAGCCCGGGGCUUAACCCCGGAACGGCUUUGGAAACUGAGCAGCUAGAGUGCUGGAGAGGUA